This 425-nucleotide ribosomal RNA is filed under the name uncultured bacterium. Its description in RNAcentral is "bacterial SSU rRNA". It matches the Rfam family "Bacterial small subunit ribosomal RNA", at positions 28 to 445 of the family's 1533-position model. The record is from RNAcentral.
GAUGAACGCUAGCGGCAGGCUUAAUACAUGCAAGUCGUGGGGCAGCAGGUUUGUAGCAAAUACAGAUGCUGGCGACCGGCAAACGGGUGCGGAACACGUACAGAACCUUCCUUUGAGCGGGGAAUAGCCCAGAGAAAUUUGGAUUAAUACCCCAUAGUAUAAUGAAGUGGCAUCACUUUAUUAUUAAGAUUUAUCACUCGAAGAUGGCUGUGCGGCUGAUUAGGUAGUUGGCGGGGUAAAGGCCCACCAAGCCUGCGAUCAGUGACUGGUGUGAGAGCACGACCAGUCACACGGGCACUGAGACACGGGCCCGACUCCUACGGGAGGCAGCAGUAAGGAAUAUGGUCAAUGGGAGGCAACUCUGAACCAGCCAUGCCGCGUGGAGGAUGAAGGUCCUCUGGAUUGUAAACUUCUUUAUAUGGGAC